RNAcentral lists this microRNA (22 nucleotides) under Cervus elaphus (red deer). RNAcentral describes it as "PC-5p-21567". The record is from RNAcentral. Lineage: Eukaryota; Metazoa; Chordata; Mammalia; Artiodactyla; Cervidae.
UCACUUCUACUCUGGGUCUGCA